CCCCAUCCCGUCCCAGUCAGGGUACACACGUUUUUUUUUUUAUCCCUGGCCCUCUUGGAGCAAUCAGAGCAUGCAGGGAUGGGCAGUGGCUUUUGUCUCUGCUGCUCCCUGCAGUUGACCGCCAAGUGGCAAGUUAAUGGCGAAAUCCCCCGGGCAGUGCUCCAAGGGCUGUUUUUGAAGUGCAGGGCAGAAUGGAUGAUGUAGUGCAAUGCCCUUUAGGCCUCCCCAGCAGGAAACCCUCAGCACAUUGCCUACUACAUUCUCUUAAAACAUACAUAGGCUUACUUGCAUCAUGCUCUCUUGGUGGGUACAGCCUAUUAGCUCAUUGGUCAACCAAGCUGGACUGAGCGGUCAUAUUUGAUUAUAAUCCAAGCCCUGUGUCUGCAAAGUUUGAGGAAGACUGAGGUCCAGCUCCAUGUGGUGGAGAUUUGAAGAUGCGUGUGGUUGAUCUGGAGGGUGUAUGACCUUCCAUUGCCGGGUCACUGCUUGUAUUCUUUUCCUUUUGUCUGAGAUUCCUGGGAAACCCUCUCUCUAACAUAGCGUUAUCAAAAAAGUCUUACUGUAAAGUUACAGACAUGGUAAAAUCCUACAUUUGCAAGGUACCUAGGCUAGAAUGGCAUCAAAGAUGACACCAGAGAUUGACUUGUGCUAACAAAAUUUGUCCAAUCAAUGAAAAAGACUGAAAAAUGUGAUUGUGAUAUAGCAUAAGGAGACUGCUUACAGGCAAUCGUGUUCUUAAAUUAACUCUAUGAUAACUAAUAAAAAAAGGUAAAAAUAUCCCAAAUUUUAAUGGGGAUCAACUGCAGAAGCCUUGUUCUUUGCAUUGAACCUUCCACAGACUGUGGACCAGAUUGACGAAGACUGGGCUUUGAUCAAACACAGACUGGCGAAAUGUUCACAUAGUUUCUGGACCAGUAAAAGUCCAUUUUAAUACUUUUAUUAGUUAAUGGCUGUAAUGACAGGAUGUCUCUCCAACAGUUGAAUAUUUCUGCAGUUUAUUGAGUCCAACCCUCAGCAUCUGCAAGUGGG
RNAcentral lists this long non-coding RNA (1029 nucleotides) under Salmo salar (Atlantic salmon). RNAcentral's name for it is "lncRNA (ENSSSAG00000099410.1)". The record is from RNAcentral. Lineage: Eukaryota; Metazoa; Chordata; Actinopteri; Salmoniformes; Salmonidae.